RNAcentral lists this ribosomal RNA (264 nucleotides) under uncultured bacterium. RNAcentral describes it as "partial 16S ribosomal RNA". It matches the Rfam family "Bacterial small subunit ribosomal RNA", at positions 90 to 354 of the family's 1533-position model. The record is from RNAcentral.
UGGCACCGGCGCACGGGUGCGUAACGCGUAUGCAACCUACCUGUAACAGGGGGAUAACACUGGAGAAAUCGGUACUAAUACCGCAUAACACUAUGAGAGGCAUCUCUUGUGGUUGAAAGUUUCGGCGGUUACAGAUGGGCAUGCGUUGUAUUAGCUGGUUGGUAAGGUAACGGCUUACCAAGGCGACGAUACAUAGGGGGACUGAGAGGUUAACCCCCCACAUUGGUACUGAGACACGGACCAAACUCCUACGGAAGGCAGCAG